GAUUGAACGCUGGCGGCAUGCCUUACACAUGCAAGUCGAACGGCAGCACGGGGGCAACCCUGGUGGCGAGUGGCGAACGGGUGAGUAAUACAUCGGAACGUGUCCUGUAGUGGGGGAUAGCCCGGCGAAAGCCGGAUUAAUACCGCAUACGAUCUACGGAGGAAAGCGGGGGAUCUUCGGACCUCGCGCUGCAGGGGCGGCCGAUGGCAGAUUAGCURGUUGGUGGGGUAAAGGCCUACCAAGGCGACGAUCUGUAGCUGGUCUGAGAGGACGACCAGCCACACUGGGACUGAGACACGGCCCAGACUCCUACGGGAGGCAGCAGUGGGGAAUUUUGGACAAUGGGGGCAACCCUGAUCCAGCAAUGCCGCGUGUGUGAAGAAGGCCUUCGGGUUGUAAAGCACUUUUGUCCGGAAAGAAAACUUCGUCCCUAAUAUGGAUGGAGGAUGACGGUACCGGAAGAAUAAGCACCGGCUAACUACGU
This 484-nucleotide ribosomal RNA is filed under the name Burkholderia sp. 'ARUP UnID 170'. Its description in RNAcentral is "bacterial SSU rRNA". It matches the Rfam family "Bacterial small subunit ribosomal RNA", at positions 27 to 506 of the family's 1533-position model. The record is from RNAcentral. Lineage: Bacteria; Pseudomonadati; Pseudomonadota; Betaproteobacteria; Burkholderiales; Burkholderiaceae.